GUCAAAGGUUGUCUUUAUUUUGUUCUAGAUUAUAUACAAGUAAUAUCUCAUUUUUCCAUAACAUUUAUUCCAAGAGACUAAUAAGCAAGGAACAUAGUAAAGGUGUUCACUACAUGGUUAAAUAAGUCAUGCAUUACAUCUUCUACACAGAGAACUUUUGAUCUUUCUCCUUAUCGCUUUGUCUUAGCUGUUCCACCAGAAUGAGCUGAAAUUUUGCUGAAUACUUUCAGAUAGCAUAAGACACUAUUUAAGGAGAGAGGAGAGGCAAACAUGAAACUGGAAUUUUCAUAACAAAGAAAAAGAUAAAAGAAAAUAGUUACCCUUUGUUUAGUCUCUGUUAGAGAACAAAUACUCAUAAUUAAACUGUAACUGGAAUCAAAAUGUAGUUUGGGAUAAACAACCUAAAUGGCCUCCAAAAUAAAUUACAGUACUCAUUUCUCUAUUGUUGUGUCUUCCUCCUCUCUAUCCCUCCCCCUUCUCUCAACCAGUUUCACCAGGAAGCAGGACUGUGUGGAGCCUGGCCUUGAAUGUCACCACUAAACAGGUCCUUUUAUACCAACAUGCUUAACAAUUUGUUUGGUGCCAGCUACUUGCUCACUCCUUGGAAUUAUUCCAUGUCCUUGCUAAGAAGAAAGAUAAAAAAAAAAUGCAACUGGGCUUUGAGACACCUGAGAAAUUGGAUCAUCAGUGGAGCAGACUGGCAUAUGCAUCAUUGUAUCCUUUUACCAUAUUCAGUUAUUGAUUAACAUAUUAUUGAUAACUCCUCUAGAUUUAAGAAGGGUAUAUCCCUUUUUCUUUUCUUUUAAAUACAUAAAUAGACCAAUUUAAUAUCCAUGGUAUAUUGGAUAUUAGUUUUUCAGUGAACUCAUUAUUCCAACACUCAAUUCUGUGUCUUUGCACAGGAUAUAAAAUGCCUGGAAUAAAAGUAUUAUACAUAUCUCA
RNAcentral lists this long non-coding RNA (942 nucleotides) under Phascolarctos cinereus (koala). Its description in RNAcentral is "lncRNA (ENSPCIG00000023823.2)". The record is from RNAcentral. Lineage: Eukaryota; Metazoa; Chordata; Mammalia; Diprotodontia; Phascolarctidae.